RNAcentral lists this transfer RNA (72 nucleotides) under Ovis aries (sheep). It matches the Rfam family "tRNA". Rfam says of the family: Transfer RNA (tRNA) molecules are approximately 80 nucleotides in length. Their secondary structure includes four short double-helical elements and three loops (D, anti-codon, and T loops). Further hydrogen bonds mediate the characteristic L-shaped molecular structure. tRNAs have two regions of fundamental functional importance: the anti-codon, which is responsible for specific mRNA codon recognition, and the 3' end, to which the tRNAs corresponding amino acid is attached (by aminoacyl-tRNA synthetases). tRNAs cope with the degeneracy of the genetic code in two manners: having more than one tRNA (with a specific anti-codon) for a particular amino acid; and 'wobble' base-pairing, i.e. permitting non-standard base-pairing at the 3rd anti-codon position. Lineage: Eukaryota; Metazoa; Chordata; Mammalia; Artiodactyla; Bovidae. The record is from Rfam by way of RNAcentral.
UCCCUGGUGGCUCAGAGGUUAAAGCGUCUGCCUCCAACGCAGGAGACCCGGGUUUGAUCCCUGGGUCGGGAU